CUUCUUCCUGAGCUUUGCUUCAUCACAAGACUAAAGGUGGCAUCCCAUGUCACAGUCUUAUCAUCAUCCAAUUGGAGAAGAAACAUUUACAGGCCUCCUGGUUUUGUUUUCUGAUCCUGCAAAAAGACUGAGGACAACAAAGCCCAGAGAACAUGAGAUACACAACAUCCAACAUUCAGACUCAACAGCCUCCAUAAAUGAAGAGCACCAGGUUGGUCCAGUUAUACUAGAUAUAAGCAUACUUCACAUUACUGUGUAUGAAUAAUAAUCAAGAGACAAACUUUGAAGAUGCAGAGCAUGAUGUCCCAUCAUCAGACUGCAAACAAAUAUCCACCAGGCUUCUUUGUUGGCAAAGGUGAUGAUUCUCCCAUCAGGGAUCAGUGGCGUGUAUUAACCUGUCUGUUCCUCCAGCCUCAACAAAAAUCUGACUCUCCAGUCACAGACAAACAAAAAAAACUCCAGCUGGGAGAUAGAAAACGCUGCCUGGGUCUUGCUGGGUGUUGCUGGUCAGAGUCCACACAUUAGCAGAGUGCUUCUUGGUCCCACUGACCCAUGUGGACAGCGACUGUGGAGAACUGUUCUGGAAAACAGAAAAGAAAAUUAAAAUGACAAAAAGCCAAACAGGAUUUCCACAAAGACUCUCUUAGAAUCAGCAAUCAGAAAAUCAUUGGUUCAUAUUACAAUUAAAUAUGACCAGGCUCCUUAAAUGUAAGCAGUUAAGAUCUGAUUUGAUUUACAUCCUUCACACAGCACAUGUGUCCAGGCUGUCAGGUAAACAUAGAAUUAAUCUCAGGUAACAUGACUCAGAGUAGAGAUUCAGUAAGAAAGAUUGCCAGCUCUAAUAUUAUUACCACACCAACAGCUCAGAUUUCUAGAACUAUUUAAACAAAUGUCUUCUGAAUAUUCAAUUCAUGUUCACAGUGGGAGGGUGGGGGGGUAUCAUGGAAUUUUGUAAAUAAAGUCUGCAACACAGAAAGAGCUGUGAUCAAGCUAUUUAUUACUGCGCGUAGGAGAGCCAACACACAUCAAACAUCACAGUUCAGUCAUGUCAGCUCUUCCACAGAACUGGUGCUCCCACUCCUUUAUGCAUUCCAAGAAAGAGGGAGGAAGUUACAAACUGAUUGUACCACACUUCACGCGCCUCGCUAUGAAACCUAACGAAUCAAUGGUUAAGCUGUUUUGUGCCCUUGGCCUUAUCAGCACCUGUAAAGGGAGUUGUUUUCUCAAACUGCUGACGCUGAAGUAAGUUCAUCUAGUUUUAGAAACUUUCACUGAACAGUCUAUAACAGUAUCACAACUAAGCAUAUGCAUAAGCACUUAAAUACUUUAAAUGAGAAUAAUAGAAAAUUUCUAUUACAGGAGCAAGAGCCUGUCCCAGUAGUCAUAGGUAGAGCAAACCUGGACAGGUCACCAGUCUGUCAGAGGACUAACAGAGAGACAGACAUCAGAGUAACAAAUCCAUUUAAAAUUAAUGUAAGCUUGCUACAGCUGUAUGUAUGAACAUGUGUUUCUGUGCUCACAGUCCACCUCUCAGGAACCUGGAGUUCAUUUUAAGUCUACUUUAAACAGACCUCACAAAAGACUGAUGUGGAUCAGUAGUUUGAUUUAAGUACGAUACCUUUGGCCAGGGAUUAAUCUGGUACAUCGCUUCACCGCAGUCUUACAUAUUAUCCCCACACCUGAAUAAAAAAUAUUGAUAUUUACAAAUAACAGAUUCAGCUGAUGCAGCCUGACUCAAUCUGAUUCCAGAUGUUCAGCACACACAGAGACACAGAGGUACUGUUUAAAGUUUAGUGUUAACCUGAGUCACUGAUCAUUUACAGUAUUACAGAGUCUGGCAGUCUUUGCAUGAUGUCCAC
Long non-coding RNA from Oreochromis niloticus (Nile tilapia), 1859 nucleotides. Lineage: Eukaryota; Metazoa; Chordata; Actinopteri; Cichliformes; Cichlidae. The record is from Ensembl.